CUGAAAAUUAAAAUGUAAACAGAAAUAUGAUUGAUUAAGUAGAUGAGUGAAUGGUUAUCUUAUUGGAUAUCUUAGAAAAUGAUGGACGGACCGGGUACAUAGAGAAUCCUAUCGUGAAUGUUGCCUAAUAUCGGACGGGGUAUCGAGGAAUAAUAUCUUUAGCGCUUAUACCGGACAGGGUAUGGGGACGACCUGAUUCAUCCUCAUACCGGACAUGGUAUU
This 222-nucleotide long non-coding RNA is filed under the name Carica papaya (papaya). RNAcentral's name for it is "long non-coding RNA (CPAP_LNC011280)". Lineage: Eukaryota; Viridiplantae; Streptophyta; Magnoliopsida; Brassicales; Caricaceae. The record is from RNAcentral.